UUCCCAUAUUGGCUUUAUAUAACUCCUACAUGUUUGUUAUUGAUCCAUUUGGAGUAAUAAGGCGUGGCAGAGGUUUUUUAAUGAAAAAAUUGAUUGGUUUAUGCAAUCGGAUUAUUUGGUAUCUUAGUUCACUGAUAAUCGGCUGGUUAAAGGACCGAAUAUCGAUACGGAAGCUUCUGGUGCGAUUUGCGUGGAGGAUGUUUUGGUCUUUUUAUGUUUGUAUGAUCUUGUGUAUAUUAGUGAUUUUCUCGAUGAUGGUUAGUGGCUCUUUGGUCAUAAAUUUGUUGGAGAAGCCAGUGCAGAUAAGGGAAGAAUUGAGUUUUGAUUACACUGAGAAUAGCCCUGUUGCAUUUGCGCCUAUAAUGUCAUGUGGUGGUGUUGGUUGUGAUUUAAACUGUGUAAAGAAGAGUUUGGGGCGACGGGUUGUACAACCUAAUGAUAAGUUGGAAGUUAAUGUGCUACUAACAUUGCCAGAGUCUGCAUAUAACAAAAAUCUUGGGCUGUUUCAGGUCCGGGUAGACCUCCUGUCUCCAUAUGGUAAAACCCUUGCCAGCAAACGUCAACUGUGCAUGUUAAAAUUCAGAAGUGAACCUGUCCGCUUCUUACUAAAUUUCUUUAAGAUUGUACCUCUGGUCACUGGCUACACGUCAGAAAUCCAAACUCUAAAGGUUAAGAUUAGAGGUUUUAAGGAAGGAGAUGAGCCUACUUCCUGCCUAAAAGUGACAGUUGAGCAACGAGCUGAAUUCCAGGCUGAAGGUGGUGUCCCAGAAAUAUAUGAUGCAUCCCUUGUACUUGAGACUGAUCUUUCUAUAUUGAAAAGGAUUAUAUGGUGUUGGAAGAACACCAUUUUUGCAUGCAUCAGCAUGAUGCUGUUUAUAAUCGAAUUGUUGUUUACCAUAAUCUGUUGUAGACCUGCAAUUAUUCCAAGAACCAGGUCAAGAGUGGUUCCUGCUCUCAACAAUUCAACACCAAACAAUCUCACUAAAUAGGUUUGGAACAAGGUGUUCUGUGCUUGAUGAUAAUGAUGAAAGUAAAGACUGAACCUUCAACCGCAGCAGUCCUUUCUCUGUACCACCUGAACUCAUCUUAGGUAUGGCACUGGAUCAACUUUUUACCUAUCUUUACCACAAUGUACAUAUUAUUAUUUAUCAAUGAUUUAAUUGAGGAAUAAUUUACAUUUGGAAAGACUUUAUUUUUAUGCACUAAUUUUUCAAUUGGAAAAGAAAGAAAAAAAAAAUAUGAAAAAAGGGG
This 1251-nucleotide unclassified non-coding RNA is filed under the name Hevea brasiliensis (rubber tree). Lineage: Eukaryota; Viridiplantae; Streptophyta; Magnoliopsida; Malpighiales; Euphorbiaceae. The record is from RNAcentral.